GAAUGUGGGGGCGGCUCCCAACAAAGUAAGGCGCUUCCUACACCCAUUUCCAGCUGGCCAAGUAGGACCAAGAUAAUCAUCACGGAGGAAGAGGAGAGGUGGGGAUGCCUCUCAGAUCAAAGUCUUCAAAGGCAAACCAGCUGCAUGUUUGUGAAGAUCGUGUUUGGCUCCGGCUCAAGCAGACAGCCCUGAAUGAGAUUCUUGGGGUAGCUACUGAAAACUGGCAGCAGAAGCAGAGCCGGGUUUAUUUCAGAGGGCGUGUUAAGAAGCUGGACCCUUUCCUGGAAAAUCAGCUCCAGUGGAUUAAGAGCUCAUUUAUGAAAAUGAAACCACCACAGAGGCAGUGGCCAAGAGGGGAGAUGACAUCAAGGUUCCUAAAUAAGACACCAGACAUACUAGGCCUGCUUAUCAAACCACAAUUAACAGCAGACAACAAUAGCCAACAAGCAACAGCAGCCAAAACCAACCAACAACCCAACAAUAACCCACCUAUCAGAGCUCUAGCAUUUAUAUAAUACCCUCUGAAAAGUCUCCAGAAUUCCAGACACCCAUACACUCACAGAAACCAUAUGCAGCUGGCAAAAUCACGCCCCUGCUAGAGCAUGAGGCAAAUCAUAGUCAGCUAUGGUGGGCAGUCUGAAGCAGCCCCGUACCUCACACCUAGGAUUAAGACAAAAAUAUAUUCUUAAAUAUUCCUGUGGGUUUUUGGGUUUUUUUUUUUUACUUGGUUUGGUUUUUUUUGUUUUUCGAGACAAAGUUUCUCUGUAUAGCCCUGGCUGUCCUGGAACUCACUCUGUAGACCAGGCUGGCCUUGAACUCAGAAAUCCACCUGCCUCUGCCUCCCAAGUGUGCCACCACGCCCGGCUAUUCCUGUGGUUUUUUUUUUUUUUUUUUAAGAAACCAAAACUCCCAAUUUGUCACUAUAGAUAUUAUUUUAAGAUAAACAAGCAGAUUACAGAAAGAAUGAGUCUGCUCUGGUUUUAUUUUGAGAUAGGGUUUCUUAGUUUAACCCCGGCACUCACCAGGCUGGCCUCAAACUCACAGAGAUGGCCUGCCUCUGCCUCCCAAGUGAUUGAAGGUGUGCGCCAUUAUCACCCAGCAAGUUUGGCUCUCCGUUCUACUCCACAAAUACACUCUUCAUUUUGACCCAAAGAUUUUGACUCACACUUGGGUUCAUUUGGUCUGCUGACAUUCAGGCCCAUACUUACAUACUUCCUGUCCCCCAACGCUUAGCAGCAAACUGCACUUGGUAUAACCCUAGAUUUGUCUUUCUCUUCUUUUCAGUCUCACAGCACCUUGAGGCUCGUCCUUAUGAAUUAGGACUUGGUUGUCCUGCAUCAGCAAAGCUGUGUGACCUUCUUGGAAACCAGAGAGGCAGGAUUGAUGCUGACGCUUCAUAGGCUGUGGUAACCACGUGACUCACCGCCACGUGUCCACGCAGAAAAGUUACCCCUUGUUCAGCGCAUCCUCAGUGCAGCCCCAAGGCUGAAGUCGCCAGUACCCACCUCUCUGGGCAGCCCAGUGAUGUCCCUCAGCGAUGAGACUUCAGCAAAGGUCCCCCAAGAGUGGGCUGCACUGUUGGCAAACCUCCUCAGGAACGGCUCCUCGGUGGUGGUCCCUCAGCAGCAACAACCUCUCAAGAAUGGUCCCUGGCGACUGCCCCUUAGCAACAGCUCCUCACAAAUGACCCCUAGAAAGUGGUCCAGUAACUAGGUCGCCUCCCAGAAACAGAUCCUCGGCGACGGUUCCUCAGCACUGGCCCCCGCAGAAUCAGUUCCUUAAGCCGCUAGACCAUGGCCUCUUAACGGCCCGACUGCCCCCAGCCACCGUGGGUCUGAGGCUGCGUAGUUUGGGCGCGCAGCUCCAUGGCAACGGAAGGCUGCUUUGGGGUAGCGGGCGGGGCUGAGGCUGCGGAGGGAGAGCUUGUGCGCAGGCGUAGUGCAACAGCGGGGGUAAAGUGGGACGAGCAUCGCGGAGGGCAGAGUCAAAGCUGACUGUUGCCCAGACGAUUCUCCUGGAGACUGGGGCAGGUGCUCGAGAACUUGUCUAAAGCCAGUUGAAACUUGGGUCAACUGCUUACUUAAAAGACCAUUUACGCAGAAGUUAGGAUCUCCUGCGUCUCUUGGAUCUGAAUUCUGGCUCUCCCAGGGCUUUGCAGCCUGUGUUGUGCCCUCUAGGUGGUGACAUCUGACUCCUCUGGAUAACUCACAGGACUCUUUGGAUUGUUUUUGGUCGUUUAAGUUGGCGUGGUCACUAGUCCGGGCAGGAGGUGGGCUCAACAGUGGACAGGACAUGUUCCCUUUCCUCAGAGUCGCAGGGAUGACUGGCAACUCCUGUAGUUUUGUCUUGGAGAUGGAGAACCUUCAGCGUUAAGAAGUCCUCAAAAUAAUACAGAGCCUGUGGAAAUGUCAGUGGAGAUUGGUGGGGGGUACCUCUGCACUCCCUUCAGAUACUUUGCCUGUGAAAUACCACUGCAAUACUGUAUAGGUGUGUGUGUGGCUGGGGAUCGAACCCAGGUGUUCUAUAAGUUUAGAGCUUUGUGUAUGGAAGCCGGAUGUCCUAGUAAAGCAAUUUGGGAAAGAUAGCCAGUUGGUUUGUAACCUUUAGCUGAGGGAGAAUGUGAACUGGGCCUCCUACUCUGGGUUGACCCUGGUAUAUGGCUGAGCAGAGAGGGUUGUGAAGUAACCAUAUCCAAUACUAAUAUUUGUGGUAUGAAGUAUAAUCCCCACUAUAGUAAAAUAAGUGAAUAAAUUGGUCUUCUCUUUCAAAAAAAAAAAAAAAAAAAA
This 2786-nucleotide long non-coding RNA is filed under the name Mus musculus (house mouse). RNAcentral's name for it is "RIKEN cDNA 5830444B04 gene (5830444B04Rik)". The record is from RNAcentral. Lineage: Eukaryota; Metazoa; Chordata; Mammalia; Rodentia; Muridae.